AAGACUAUAGACCUGCGGAGUACCUGCGGAAGGAUCAUUAAAGAGAAAACUGCCCUUUGGGUAGAUUUCCCACCCUUUGUUUACUUUACCUUUGUUGCUUUGGCAGGCCCGUCUUCUGACCACCGGCUUCUAGCUGGUCCGUGCCUGCCAGAGGACCCCCAACUCUUGAUUUUAAGUUGUCCGAGUCUUAUAUAAUAGUAAAAACUUUUAGCAACGGAUCUCUAGAUCGGAAGAGCACAC
Molecule: unclassified non-coding RNA, 240 nt
Filed under: soil metagenome
Description: partial contains 5.8S ribosomal RNA, internal transcribed spacer 2, and large subunit ribosomal RNA
Source: RNAcentral